CCUUCGUGGUGAAAUGGUAGACACGCGUGAUUCAAAAUCAUGUGCAAAAGCGUGCCGGUUCAAGUCCGGUCGAAGGUA
This 78-nucleotide transfer RNA is filed under the name Flexiglena variabilis. RNAcentral's name for it is "tRNA-Leu". It matches the Rfam family "tRNA". From Rfam's summary of the family: Transfer RNA (tRNA) molecules are approximately 80 nucleotides in length. Their secondary structure includes four short double-helical elements and three loops (D, anti-codon, and T loops). Further hydrogen bonds mediate the characteristic L-shaped molecular structure. tRNAs have two regions of fundamental functional importance: the anti-codon, which is responsible for specific mRNA codon recognition, and the 3' end, to which the tRNAs corresponding amino acid is attached (by aminoacyl-tRNA synthetases). tRNAs cope with the degeneracy of the genetic code in two manners: having more than one tRNA (with a specific anti-codon) for a particular amino acid; and 'wobble' base-pairing, i.e. permitting non-standard base-pairing at the 3rd anti-codon position. Lineage: Eukaryota; Euglenozoa; Euglenophyceae; Euglenales; Phacaceae. The record is from RNAcentral.